CAAGUAUUUUUGUACGCUUAUACUAGGUGCUCUUACACCAUGAAAUGCGUUUAAGCUCUUCCCAAGCCUAGUCAAGCCAGAGCUCAUCCCAUUCAUCUGAUGGUUCAAGCCAUCCACAAGUCGAUCAUUUCGAGCCACUAGCUUCUCUAUCACAGUAGAUAAUAUGGUUAAGACUCGUUUGCUCAGACUGACUCAGCUCUGGCUGCCUGAUGCUGUUGGCAGUGAGCUCCCCGGUGGCUAACAUUUAGAAGUCAUUUACAGUAUGUUAAGGGAGAGCUUUUGAG
RNAcentral lists this unclassified non-coding RNA (284 nucleotides) under Hevea brasiliensis (rubber tree). Lineage: Eukaryota; Viridiplantae; Streptophyta; Magnoliopsida; Malpighiales; Euphorbiaceae. The record is from RNAcentral.